CCUACGGGGGGCUGCAGUGGGGAAUCUUGCGCAAUGGACGAAAGUCUGACGCAGCGACGCCGCGUGGGUGAUGAAGGCCUUCGGGUUGUAAAGCCCUGUGGGGAGAGAAGAAUAAGUGCGGGCUAAUACCCCGCAUGAUGACGGUAUCUCCUUAGCAAGCACCGGCUAACUCUGUGCCAGCAGCCGCGGUAAGACAGAGGGGGCAAUACUGGUUCGGAAUUACGGGGCGGAAAUCUGGUAUAGGCGGUGUGAAAGCCCCGGGCUCAACCCGGGAAGUGCACUCGAUACUGUUAGGCUAGAGUACUGGAGAGGUUGGUGGAAUUCUCGGUGUAGAGGUGAAAUUCGUAGAUAUCGAGAGGAACACCGGUGGCGAAGGCGGCCAACUGGACAGAUACUGACGCUGAGACACGAAAGCGUGGGGAGCAAACAGGAUUAGAUACCCCAGUAGUC
Molecule: ribosomal RNA, 450 nt
Filed under: uncultured bacterium
Lineage: Bacteria
Description: partial 16S ribosomal RNA
Rfam family: Bacterial small subunit ribosomal RNA
Source: RNAcentral